AGGGCUGGGAUGGUGGAGAGGAUGGCCAGAUGGAGACACUGGAGGGACUAACCUCUUCUCUGUCUCCCAG
This 70-nucleotide microRNA precursor is filed under the name Mesocricetus auratus (golden hamster). Its description in RNAcentral is "miRNA (ENSMAUG00000006145.1)". The record is from RNAcentral. Lineage: Eukaryota; Metazoa; Chordata; Mammalia; Rodentia; Cricetidae.